AAGUGGAAACAUGUCCACACGAAAGCCUGAGUGCAAAUGUUUGUAGAGGUUUUAUUCCUGGUUGUCCCAAGCUGAAAACAACCCAAAUAAACAAACUGGUGCGGCCAUCCGGUGGAACAACGGGCGCAGCCAUCCAGCGGAACCCCACUCAGCAGUAACAAGGAGAACUGAUCGUGGCAACGACGCGGACGAACCUCAAACGCAUUUUGCUGAAAGAAGCCAGAUCCAAAAGGGACGGAGCUGUCACAACCAGGAACCCCAAGUUAAAACACUCUCAGGAGAAAGCACCAAGUCAAAUCACUGGACAAGGUGCCUGCAGCAUAGUUUAAUGACCAGCACAAAAAUCUCAUGGGAGAGGAGUGGAGGAGCCUGUCAUUGGAGUACAUGGGGAAUAUCUCACAUGUGCUGGGCCCACACACCUCAUCUACGGAAUCCACAUACUAGCCUAGAGGAAGGCUUUGUGGCCCCUGACAGAUGAGGAAACUGAGGCACACAGAGAUCACGUGACUUGCCAAGGCCACAGAGCUGGUGGGGGCAAAGGUCUGGUCACCCCCUGUGGUCUGGCUCAAGAGUCCAGGCUCCUAGCCAUGGCCUCUCCUGCCUCUUGGUCCUGGAGCACCAAAGGAGAAAUCAGGCUUUACUUGUAGGUGGAAAUGAUUAGCUAGGAUGAGAGUUCCCUCAAACCUGCUCAUUGUCCUGGGCCAGGAAGUCAGGCUUCAGCCUCACCCUGCCUUUGACCAGAUUCUCAGUGUCCACCCUCACUAGUCUCUCCAGGCCAUGGAACAAGGGUCCUGAAAGGGUCAGAGCAUCUCUCUGUGAGGGGCAGUAAUGCACCCACUGUAAAGGAGUCCUAAGGACACCAAGCUCUCUGACCAAGGGGAUCAUGGGAGGCGAGAGAGGGUGCUUUAACAAGACACAUACUCGAAAUGCAGACUAUGGUCCCAUAACAUCAUUAGCUGAAGUCUUCCUGACUCAUUUCCAAGCAAUGCAUUUCACAGAAAGACACAAGCCCGUGGGGUGGUCUCCGGGCCUAAGCAUCGGCGGUGGCAGUUAUGGCAACUUAAGCAAAUGCUCAACAUAGGCUGCCUCGGAAUAUGUUCUGGCAACUGCUUCCCCUUCUCAAACCUGACCCCGAGGCCACGCACUUUCCCAGUCCUCUUAGCCUAGGAGGAGCCAGCGGCCUGGCCAGGCAGAGGAAGGAGUUGGGCGCCUGGCAUGCCCCCGAAGCCGUCUCCCUGCAGGAGGAGGGGCUCCCCUCCCGGCCUGCAUCAGCCUCAGGACUCAGGGGAGGUCCUUCCCCACCUGCAGCCAUGCUUGGGGGGCGCCAGCCUCACAGAACCCUGCGUUCUCUCCGUUCCAGAAGGAAAUGCUCAGGGAGCGACAUCUCACCCCAGGAUGGACAAGGUCACACACCUGGGUAACAUCUGGGUCAUGUCACUAAAACCGUCCCCCUCUCAGAAGCUUCUAGGGAUGGCUAGUGUGCUGGUGACAGUGCGAGGGGAUAACAGUGCAAGGAGGACUAGUGACGGUGAGAGGAGGACUAGUGACUGUGCGGGGACUACUAGUGAGCGACGGGAGGACUAGUGACAGUGACACCGUGGGGAGUAGUAGGAAUAGGAAUAAUUAUCGAGCACUUUAUAGAUGCACCUGCACUAACUUCAACGGGUUAAUAUAUUUAAACACCUUAUUCAUUUAAUCCUCAAAACCCCUUGAGGUAGGCAUUAUCUCCAUUUUCUAGUUGUCAAAUGGAGGCACAGGAAGGGUGACUGCAGAUGGUGAAUCAGUCUUUGUUGAAUGAGUAAGUGAACAAGUUGCCCAUCACCACAAAUGCGGAGACAGCAAUAGAGGAGCCAUUAGGGUGGCAGGAGAUUAAAACCUCAGACGCGGUCUUCACGGGAGCUGCUGGCCUUCUGUGGGCUCAAAAACCCGAGCUCUUGUCUGCGUUCUAGAAGCCCGCAUACCCGAGGACUCUCUGGCCUUGGCCCAGCAGUGGACAUGGGGCAAAGGCUGAGCGUUGGUGCAGUGCCACUGGCAGGGCUGGGCACAGCCACCCUCAAGCCCCACCUACCCUGGGGACCCAGGGCUGG
Long non-coding RNA from Manis pentadactyla (Chinese pangolin), 2087 nucleotides. RefSeq lists it as uncharacterized. The transcript is spliced from 4 exons. Lineage: Eukaryota; Metazoa; Chordata; Mammalia; Pholidota; Manidae. The record is from RefSeq and is a predicted model, not a curated record.